RNAcentral lists this ribosomal RNA (914 nucleotides) under uncultured Bacillota bacterium. RNAcentral describes it as "bacterial SSU rRNA". It matches the Rfam family "Bacterial small subunit ribosomal RNA", at positions 58 to 948 of the family's 1533-position model. Lineage: Bacteria; Bacillati; Bacillota. The record is from RNAcentral.
CAAGUCGAACGCGAAAGUUUCCUUCGGGGAACGAGUAGAGUGGCGCACGGGUGAGUAACACGUAGGUAAUCUACCUUUGGAUGGGGAAUAACAACCGGAAACGGUUGCUAAUACCGCAUAAUGCAGCGGCACCUAAUGGUGACAGUUGUUAAAGCGGGGGAUCGAAAGACCUCGCGUCUAAAGAGGAGCCUGCGGCGGAUUAGCUAGUUGGUAAGGUAACGGCUUACCAAGGCGAUGAUCCGUAGCCGGCCUGAGAGGGCGGUCGGCCACACUGACACUGACAUACGGGUCAGACUCCUACGGGAGGCAGCAGUCGGGAAUUUUGGGCAAUGGGCGAAAGCCUGACCCAGCAACGCCGCGUGAAGGAUGAAAUCCUUCGGGAUGUAAACUUCGCAAGAACGGGAAGAAUAAGUAAGGGUUAAUAUCUCUUACGAUGACGGUACUGUUUGUAAGCUCCGGCUAACUCCGUGCCAGCAGCCGCGGUAAUACGGGGGGAGCAAGCGUUGUUCGGAUUUACUGGGCGUAAAGGGCGCGUAGGCGGCCACCGCAAGUCGGUUGUGAAAUCUCUGGGCUUAACCCAGAAAGGUCAACCGAUACUGCGGGGCUAGAGUGCAGAAGGGGCAACUGGAAUUCUCGGUGUAGCGGUGAAAUGCGUAGAUAUCGAGAGGAACACCUGCGGCGAAGGCGGGUUGCUGGGCUGACACUGACGCUGAUGCGCGAAAGCUAGGGGAGCGAACGGGAUUAGAUACCCCGGUAGUCCUAGCCUUAAACGAUGAAUGCUUGGUGUCUGGGGUUUUAUAGUCCCCGGGUGCCGUCGCUUACGCUUUAAGCAUUCCGCCUGGGGAGUACGGUCGCAAGACUGAAACUCAAAGGAAUUGACGGGGACCCGCACAAGCGGUGGAGCAUGUGGUUUA